RNAcentral lists this ribosomal RNA (230 nucleotides) under uncultured bacterium. Its description in RNAcentral is "partial 16S ribosomal RNA". It matches the Rfam family "Bacterial small subunit ribosomal RNA", at positions 563 to 791 of the family's 1533-position model. The record is from RNAcentral.
GUAAGCGUGCGCAGCGGUUAUGUAAGACAGAUGUGAAAUCCCCGGGCUCAACCUGGGAACUGCAUUUGUGACUGCAUGGCUAGAGUACGGUAGAGGGGGAUGGAAUUCCGCGUGUAGCAGUGAAAUGCGUAGAUAUGCGGAGGAACACCGAUGGCGAAGGCAAUCCCCUGGACCUGUACUGACGCUCAUGCACGAAAGCGUGGGGAGCAAACAGGAUUAGAUACCCUUGU